GUGUCAGCAGCCGCGGUAAUACGAAGGGGGCUAGCGUUGCUCGGAAUUACUGGGCGUAAAGGGCGCGUAGGCGGCGCAUUUAGUCAGGCGUGAAAUUCCUGGGCUCAACCUGGGGACUGCGCUUGAUACGGGUGUGCUAGAGGGCAGGAGAGGCUCGCGGAAUUCCCAGUGUAGAGGUGAAAUUCGUAGAUAUUGGGAAGAACACCGGUGGCGAAGGCGGCGAGCUGGCCUGUUACUGACGCUGAGGCGCGACAGCGUGGGGAGCAAACAGGAUUAGAUACCCUUGUAGUCC
RNAcentral lists this ribosomal RNA (292 nucleotides) under uncultured bacterium. RNAcentral's name for it is "partial 16S ribosomal RNA". It matches the Rfam family "Bacterial small subunit ribosomal RNA", at positions 505 to 796 of the family's 1533-position model. The record is from RNAcentral.